Molecule: ribosomal RNA, 446 nt
Filed under: uncultured bacterium
Lineage: Bacteria
Description: partial 16S ribosomal RNA
Rfam family: Bacterial small subunit ribosomal RNA
Source: RNAcentral
CCUACGGGAGGCUGCAGUCGAGAAUCAUUCACAAUGGGGGAAACCCUGAUGGUGCGACGCCGCGUGGGGGAAUGAAGGUCUUCGGAUUGUAAACCCCUGUCAUGUGGGAGCAAAUUAAAAAGAUAGUACCACAAGAGGAAGAGACGGCUAACUCUGUGCCAGCAGCCGCGGUAAUACAGAGGUCUCAAGCGUUGUUCGGAAUCAGUGGGCGUAAGGCGUGCGUAGGCUGUUUCGUAAGUCGGGUGUGAAAGGCGCGGGCUCAACCCGCGGACGGCACCUGAUACUGCGAGACUAGAGUAAUGGAGGGGGAAGCGGAAUUCUUGGUGUAGCGGUGAAAUGCGUAGAUAUCGAGAGGAACACUCGUGGCGAAGGCGGGUUCCUGGACAUUAACUGACGCUGAGGCACGAAGGCCAGGGGAGCGAAAGGGAUUAGAUACCCCGGUAGUC